UAUAGAUACCCUGGUAGUCCACGCCGUAAACGAUGAGUGCUAAGUGUUAGAGGGUUUCCGCCCUUUAGUGCUGAAGUUAACGCAUUAAGCACUCCGCCUGGGGAGUACGGCCGCAAGGCUGAAACUCAAAGGAAUUGACGGGGGCCCGCACAAGCGGUGGAGCAUGUGGUUUAAUUCGAAGCAACGCGAAGAACCUUACCAGGUCUUGACAUCCUCUGACAACCCUAGAGAUAGGGCUUCCCCUUCGGGGGCAGAGUGACAGGCGGUGCAUGGUUGUCGUCAGCUCGUGUCGUGAGAUGUUGGGUUAAGUCCCGCAACGAGCGCAACCCUUGAUCUUAGUUGCCAUCAUUCAGUUGGGCACUCUAAGGUGACUGCCGGUGACAAACCGGAGGAAGGUGGGGAUGACGUCAAAUCAUCAUGCCCCUUAUGACCUGGGCUACACACGUGCUACAAUGGACGGUACAAAGAGUCGCGAGACCGCGAGGUGGAGCUAAUCUCAUAAAACCCGUUCUCAGUUCGGAUUGUAGG
This 528-nucleotide ribosomal RNA is filed under the name uncultured bacterium. Its description in RNAcentral is "bacterial SSU rRNA". It matches the Rfam family "Bacterial small subunit ribosomal RNA", at positions 777 to 1304 of the family's 1533-position model. The record is from RNAcentral.